Molecule: long non-coding RNA, 1294 nt
Filed under: Anas platyrhynchos platyrhynchos (common mallard)
Lineage: Eukaryota; Metazoa; Chordata; Aves; Anseriformes; Anatidae
Description: lncRNA (ENSAPLG00000029051.1)
Source: RNAcentral
CCAGUCUGUUUAUGUUUCCAGCAUAAGAGGAAGUAAGAAGUUGUAAAUUUAUAAGAAGUUAAUUUUAAUUUUUCUCUCUCUCUCUUUUUUUUUUUCCCCUUUCUCUAGUUAUAACAUGAAGAUUUGUUUGCUUGUUUAUGUUUUGUUUUGUUUUCCUUCUUUUCUUUGAUUAACAACUUUGAAUUUACUUUUGUGGUGGUUUUACUCAGGUGGGCAGCUGAGCUUCUCCACAGCUGCUCUCUCACUCUCCCUCCUCAAAGAGGAACAGGGAGAAAAUAUGAUGAAAAGGGCUCAAGGGUUGAGAUAAGGAUGAGAAAUACACACAGUCAUUAUCAUGACAGGCAAAACAGACUCAGCAUAGGGAGACAGUAGGACUAUUACCUAUUAGUAAAACGCUAGAGAAGUGAGAAACAAAGGAAAGAAACCAAAAAUGCCUUCCCCCACAUCCACCCUUUUCCACCUUUUCCCCCUGAGCGGCGCAGGGGAACAGGGGAAAGAGGGUUAUGGUUAACCUAUAGCGCUUCUUCUCUGCCACUCCUUCAUGGUCACUCUCUGCCCCUACUCCACGUGGGGUCCCUUCCAGGGGAUGCAGUCCUUGCCGAACUGAACUGGCGUGGGCUUCUUGCAGGCAACAGCUCUUCAAUAAUUGUUCCAGAUAUUGGUUUGUACUAUGGGGUCCAUCCCUCAGGAGCAAACUGCUCCAACCUGGGUCCCCCACAGGCAGCAGCUCCUGGCAGGUCAAAUGCUCCUGUGUGGUCUCCUCUCCACGGGCUACAGGUCUGGCUCGGAAUCUGCUCCGGCAGGGGUCUUCCACAGGUGGCAGCCUCCGUUGGUGCAGGGUCACCUGCUCCACCAUGGUCUCCUCCACGGGCUGCAGCGUGGGACCCUGCUCCACCGUGGUACUCCAUGGGCUGCAGGGGGACAUUCUGCUUCACCAUGGUCCUAACCACAGGCCACACUGGACUUCUGCUUCAGCACCUGAAGUACCUCUCCUCCUCCUUCUUCACUGACCUUGGUGCCUGCAAGGCUGUUCCUCACUCCUCUCACUCUCCCAGCUGCUGUGUGGUGCAGCGUUUUUUAUUUUAUUUAUUUUUUAUUUUUAUUUAUUUAUUUUCCUCUGUCUUAAAUAUGCUCUCACAGAGGCGCAAACAACAUCACUUAUUGGCUCGGCUCUGGUCAGCAAUGAGGCCCUUACCUAACAUGGGGCAGCUUCUAGAUUCUUCUCACAGAAGCCACCCCGAUGGCCCCCUGCUACCAAAACCUUGCCACAUAAACCCACUGCAACUUUCAGUGA